Molecule: ribosomal RNA, 440 nt
Filed under: uncultured bacterium
Lineage: Bacteria
Description: partial 16S ribosomal RNA
Rfam family: Bacterial small subunit ribosomal RNA
Source: RNAcentral
CCUACGGGUGGCUGCAGUGGGGAAUAUUGGACAAUGGGGGAAACCCUGAUCCAGCGACGCCGCGUGAGUGAAGAAGGAUUUCGGUACGUAAAGCUCUAUCAGCAGGGAAGAAAAUGACGGUACCUGACUACGAAGCACCGGCUAACUACGUGCCAGCAGCCGCGGUCAUACGUAGGGUGCAAGCGUUAUCCGGAUUUACUGGGUGUAAAGGGAGCGGAGACGGCUGAGCAAGUCUGGAGUGAAAUGCCGGGGCCGAACCCCGGAACUGCCCUGGAAACUGGGAAGCUGGAGUGCAGGAGAGGUGAGCAGAAUUCCAGGUGUAGCGGUGAAAUGCGUAGAGAUCUGGAGGAAUACCGGCGGCGAAGGCGGCUCACUGGACUGUAACUGACGUUGAGGUGCGAAGGCGUGGGGAGCAAACAGGAUUAGAUACCCCUGUAGUC